RNA transcript from Ananas comosus (pineapple), 1677 nucleotides. It is a transcript of the gene named cell division cycle 20.3, cofactor of APC complex-like, with no coding region annotated. The transcript is spliced from 12 exons. The record is from RefSeq and is a predicted model, not a curated record. Lineage: Eukaryota; Viridiplantae; Streptophyta; Magnoliopsida; Poales; Bromeliaceae.
CUCUCUCUCUUCCGAUCGAUCCAAAGGCGCUCUCUCUCUCUCUCUCUCUCUCUCUCUCUCUCUCUCUCUCUCUUCCGAUCGAUCCAAAGGCUCAUUAAUGGGUGAUCGAUUUAUUCCUACUCGGAGCCUCAUGGAUCUCGACCGCGCGCGAUCGUCUCUUCUCGAGGGGAGAACCAAGAAACCGGCGGAGCGGUCCUCGGUCUUGACCCCGAAGGAGGUGUAUAGGAGGAUGUUGGAGGAGAAUCUGACGCUGGAUUCCGAAGGGAGGCCGUUCAGGAUGCUUCCGUUCUGGAGCCCGAGCACGAGGAAUUCCAGGCGGAGUCUGCUUGUGGACGAGAUGAUGCAAGAGGAGCGCGAUCUUGCGAGAUAUUUCGGCCCAAUCCGCCAUGUUCCAUCGUCUGCAGAUAAGAUACUGGAAGCGCCGGGCCUGAUUGAUGACUACUAUCUGAACAUAAUGGACUGGGGAAAGGAGAACAUUUUGGCUGUUGCAUCGGGCCCUUCGGUUUACCUAUGGAAAGCCGACACUGAUGAGGUGCAACUGCUCCUGUCGGCGGAUGAGGAGGAGAAUUACCCAACUAGCGUUUCAUGGUGUGAUGACGGGAAGAAGUUGGCCAUCGGAUACGCUACAUCUCAAAUUGAGCUCUGGGAUGCUCUGACCUUCCAGCAGGUUAGAACGUUCGAAGGGCACAAGAGAAGAGUAGGAAGCCUUUCAUGGAAUCGCCACAUUUUGACAUCAGGGAGCCGUGAUUGCUCCAUCAUCAACCAUGAUGUGAGAUCACACCGCAAACCUGUGUCCCGAUUUCGCGGGCACUCUAACGAGGUAUGCGGCCUGAGAUGGUCAGAAGGUGGAAGACAGCUUGCCAGCGGAGGGAACGACAACCUUGUCUGUGUGUGGGAAUCCUUAAACAUGAGAUCCUCGAAGUACCUCCAUAGGUUUACUGACCAUAACGCGGCCGUAAGAGCCCUAGCUUGGUGUCCUCAUAAGUCGAACGUUCUUGCUUCUGGCGGCGGGGCUGCCGAUCGCUGCAUUAAGAUCUGGAAUACAUGGGAAGGGAAGUGCACUGCUAGUAUAGAGACUUCUUCUCAGGUUUGUGCAUUGGAGUGGAACAGGCACCAGAAGGAGAUUUUGAGUGCCCAUGGUUACGACCAAAAUCAGCUGACUUUGUGGUCGUACCCUUCGAUGUCGAGAAUUGCCGAUUUGAAAGGGCAUACUUCCAGAGUUCUGCACCUCACACAGAGUCCGGAUGGUACGACGGUUGUGUCGGCUGCAGCGGACGAAAGCAUCUGUUUCUGGAAGGUGUUCGAGCCGCCUUGCAACUCUUCGAGAGCGGCAAACGAUGGCAGCGAUAGCAUCCUGUCGUUGAAUAGGAUGCACAUAAGGUGAUAGUUUUUCGUUGGAGGCAACUGGAAAUGCAAUGGAACAAAGGACUCUAUCAGCAAACUCAUCUCUGAUUUGAAUGGAGCUACAUUGGAAAAUGAUGUUGGUGCGUACGCACAUGGACACAGUGUCACACGUAUAGCAGCAAAAUACCAUACAAACGGAGAAUGACCCCCAAUUGUUCAACUUUUAUAAGCACAUUCCAGAUGCUGUCGUAGCACCUCCAUUCGUAUAUAUUGACCAGGUCAAGUCUUCACUGACUGAUCGUGUUGAGAUAUCUGCUCAAAAUGCUUGGGUUG